GUACACGCUGUGACUAGCAUAUCAAUAAGCGGAGGAAAAGAAACUAACAAGGAUUCCCCUAGUAACGGCGAGUGAAGCGGGAAGAGCUCAAAUUUGAAAUCUUAAAGGGUUUCCCUUUACGAAUUGUAGUUUAAAGAAGUGUUUUCUGUUGAGGUUUUGGUAAAAGUUCUUUGGAAUAGGACAUCAUAGAGGGUGAGAAUCCCGUAUUUGACCUUUACUUUCAACUUUGUGAUACACUUUCAAAGAGUCGGAUUGUUUGGGAAUGCAGUCCAAAAUGGGUGGUAAAUUUCAUCUAAAGCUAAAUAUUGGCGAGAGACAGAUAGCGAACAAGUACCGUGAGGGAAAGAUGAAAAGAACUUUGAAAAGAGAGUUAAACAGUACGUGAAAUUGUCAAAAGGGAAGCGUUUGACACCAGUGUUGUUUUUCUGAAAAUCAAUUAAAGAACUGUUUAUGCUAAGUUGUUUAGACUUUAUCAGCUAACUGUUUAGUUUUGAGCUUUUCUUUAAUGCACUUUUCAGUUAACAAGUCAACAUCAAUUUCUUUUGCUGUAAAAAAGCUUGAGGAAGGUGGCUUGAGAUUCGUCUUAAGUGUUUAUAGCCUCUUGCCUAUGCAGUCGGAGAGAUUGAGGUCUGCCAGCGUAGAUCCUUCGGGGCUAAAUGCAUUUGUGCUAAGUUAUAGCAUUUUAAUAGACAACUUGUUGACUAUGAUUUGUCUUGUAGCUUACUCGCUUAUGUUAUUUUACCUACGCUUAGGAUGUUGACGCGCGUGUGUGCUG
Molecule: ribosomal RNA, 775 nt
Filed under: uncultured Neocallimastigales
Lineage: Eukaryota; Fungi; Neocallimastigomycota; Neocallimastigomycetes; Neocallimastigales
Description: partial large subunit ribosomal RNA
Rfam family: Eukaryotic large subunit ribosomal RNA
Source: RNAcentral